This 406-nucleotide ribosomal RNA is filed under the name uncultured bacterium. RNAcentral describes it as "partial 16S ribosomal RNA". It matches the Rfam family "Bacterial small subunit ribosomal RNA", at positions 30 to 526 of the family's 1533-position model. The record is from RNAcentral.
AUUGAACGCUGGCGGCAGGCCUAACACAUGCAAGUCGAACGAGUGGCGGACGGGUGAGUAAUGUCUGGGAAACUGCCUGAUGGAGGGGGAUAACUACUGGAAACGGUAGCUAAUACCGCAUACCAUCGGAUGUGCCCAGAUGGGAUUUGCUAGUAGGUGGGGGAAAGGCUCAACUAGGCGACGAUCCCUUGCUGGUCUGAACGGAUGACCCGCACCACUGGAACUGAGACAAGGUCCAGACUCCUACGGGAGGCAGCAGUGGGGAAUAUUGCACAAUGGGAGCAAGCCUGAUGCAGCCAUGCCGCGUGUAUGAAGAAGGCCUUCGGGUUGUAAAGUACUUUCAGCGGGGAGGCGUUACCCGCAGAAGAAGCACCGGCUAACGCCGUGCCAGCAGCCGCGGUAAUUC